Molecule: ribosomal RNA, 254 nt
Filed under: uncultured bacterium
Lineage: Bacteria
Description: partial 16S ribosomal RNA
Rfam family: Bacterial small subunit ribosomal RNA
Source: RNAcentral
UACGUAGGCGCCAAUCGUUAUCCGGAUUCACUGGGCGUAAAGCGUCCGCAGGUGGAUUUGUAAGUCUAAUGUUUAAAUAUCUCGGCUUAACCGAGGGAAGGUAUUGGAAACUACAAGUCUAGAGGCCGGUAGAGGCUGUCGGAACUUAUCGAGUAGGGGUAAUAUCCGUUGAUACGAUAAGGAACGCCAAAGGCGAAGGCAGACAGCUGGGCCGGCCCUGACACUCAUGGACGAAAGCGUGGGGAGCGAACGGG